Molecule: unclassified non-coding RNA, 336 nt
Filed under: soil metagenome
Description: partial contains 5.8S ribosomal RNA, internal transcribed spacer 2, and large subunit ribosomal RNA
Rfam family: 5.8S ribosomal RNA (bases 1-120)
Source: RNAcentral
GAUGAAGAACGUAGCGAAAUGCGAUAAGUAAUGUGAAUUGCAGAAUUCAGUGAAUCAUCGAAUCUUUGAACGCACAUUGCGCCCGCCAGUAUUCUGGCGGGCAUGCCUGUUCGAGCGUCAUUUCAACCAUCAAGCCCCCGGCUUGUGUUGGGGACCUGCGGCUGCCGCAGGCCCUGAAAAGCAGUGGCGGGCUCGCUGUCACACCGAGCGUAGUAGCAUACAUCUCGCUCUGGGCGUGCUGCGGGUUCCGGCCGUUAAACCACCUUCAUAACCCAAGGUUGACUUCGGAUCAGGUAGGAAGACCCGCUGAACUUAAGCAUAUCAAUAAGCGGAGGA